Molecule: ribosomal RNA, 465 nt
Filed under: uncultured bacterium
Lineage: Bacteria
Description: partial 16S ribosomal RNA
Rfam family: Bacterial small subunit ribosomal RNA
Source: RNAcentral
GACGAACGCUGGCGGCGUGCUUAACACAUGCAAGUCGUACGGUAAGGCCCUUUCGGGGGUACACGAGUGGCGAACGGGUGAGUAACACGUGAGUAACCUGCCCCCAACUUUGGGAUAACGCUAGGAAACUGGUGCUAAUACUGGAUAUGUGCUCCUGCUUCAUGGUGGGGGUUGGAAAGCUCCGGCGGUUGUGGAUGGACUCGCGGCCUAUCGGCUUGCUGGUGGGGUAGUGGCCUACCAAGGCGGCGACGGGUAGCCGGCCUGAGAGGGUGACCGGCCACAUUGGGACUGAGGUACGGCCCAAACUCCUACGGGAGGCAGCAGUGGGGAAUAUUGCACAAUGGGCGCAAGCCUGAUGCAGCAGGGCCGCGUGCGGGAUGACGGCCUUCGGGUUGUAAACCGAUUUCAGCAGGGACGAAGCUUUUUGUGACGGUACCUGCAGAAGAAGCACCGGCUAACUACGUG